RNAcentral lists this ribosomal RNA (305 nucleotides) under uncultured bacterium. RNAcentral's name for it is "bacterial SSU rRNA". It matches the Rfam family "Bacterial small subunit ribosomal RNA", at positions 338 to 640 of the family's 1533-position model. The record is from RNAcentral.
CCUACGGGAGGCAGCAGUGAGGAAUAUUGGUCAAUGGGAGAGAUCCUGAACCAGCCAAGCCGCGUGAGGGAAGACGGCCCUAUGGGUUGUAAACCUCUUUUGUCGGAGAACAAAACCCGGGACGUGUCCCGGACUGCGUGUAUCCGAAGAAAAAGCAUCGGCUAAAUACGUGCCAGCAGCCGCGGUAAUACGUAUGGUGCAAGCGUUAUCCGGAUUUACUGGGUGUAAAGGGAGCGCAGGCGGCGCGGCAAGUCAGAUGUGAAAGCCCGGGGCUCAACCCCGGGACUGCAUUUGAAACUGCCGGG